This 254-nucleotide ribosomal RNA is filed under the name uncultured bacterium. RNAcentral describes it as "partial 16S ribosomal RNA". It matches the Rfam family "Bacterial small subunit ribosomal RNA", at positions 524 to 776 of the family's 1533-position model. The record is from RNAcentral.
GACGAACCGUGCGAACGUUAUUCGGAAUCACUGGGCUUAAAGCGCGUGUAGGCGGGUCGGCACGUCGGUCGCUGAAAUCCCCCGGCUCAACCGGGGAAGGGGCGCCGAUACGACCGGCCUGGAGGGACGUAGGGGGGGCUGGAACUUCCGGUGGAGCGGUGAAAUGCGUUGAGAUCGGAAGGAACGCCCGUGGCGAAAGCGAGCCCCUGGACGUCUACUGACGCUGAGACGCGAAAGCCAGGGGAGCGAACGGG